UGGGGAAUAUUGGGCAAUGGGCGAAAGCCUGACCCAGCGACGCCGCGUGAGGGAAGACGGUCUUCGGAUUGUAAACCUUUGUCAACAGGAACGAAACAAAUGACGGUACCUGUGGAGGAAGCCACGGCUAACUACGUGCCAGCAGCCGCGGUAAUACGUAGGUGGCGAGCGUUAUCCGGAUUUACUGGGUGUAAAGGGUGUGUAGGCGGAAAGGCAAGUCAGAUGUGAAAAUGAUGGGCUCAACCCAUGACCUGCAUUUGAAACUGUCUUCCUUGAGAGUGGGAGAGGUAAAUAGAAUUCCUGGUGUAGCGGUGAAAUGCGUAGAUAUCAGGAGGAAUACCGGUGGCGAAGGCGAUUUACUGGCCCACAACUGACGCUGAGACACGAAAGCGUGGGGAGCAAACAGG
This 407-nucleotide ribosomal RNA is filed under the name uncultured bacterium. RNAcentral describes it as "bacterial SSU rRNA". It matches the Rfam family "Bacterial small subunit ribosomal RNA", at positions 355 to 776 of the family's 1533-position model. The record is from RNAcentral.